RNAcentral lists this ribosomal RNA (961 nucleotides) under uncultured Actinomycetes bacterium. RNAcentral's name for it is "bacterial SSU rRNA". It matches the Rfam family "Bacterial small subunit ribosomal RNA", at positions 364 to 1336 of the family's 1533-position model. Lineage: Bacteria; Bacillati; Actinomycetota; Actinomycetes. The record is from RNAcentral.
UUGCACAAUGGGCGCAAGUUGAUGCAGCGACGCCGCGUGAGGGAUGACGGCCUUCGGUUUGUAAACCUUUUUUACCAGGGGCGAAGGAAUAGUUACGGUACCUGGAGAAGAAGCACCGGCCAACUACGUGCCAGCAGCCGCUGUAAUACGUAGGGUGCGAGCUUUGUCCGGUAUUACUGGGCGUAAAGAGCUCGUAGGCGGUUUGUCGCGUCGUUCGUUAAAACUUGGGGCUUAACUUCAAGCGUGCGGGCUAUACGGGCAGACUUGAGUACUACAGGGGAGACUGGAAUUCCUGGUGUAGCGGUGAAAUGCGCAGAUAUCAGGAGGAACACCGGUGGCGAAGGCGGGUCUCUUGGUAGUAACUGACGCUGAGGAGCGAAAGCGUGGGGUAGCGAACAGGAUUAGAUACCCUGGUAGUCCACGCCGUAAACGGUGGGUACUAGGUGUGGGUUCCUUUUUACGGGAUCCGUGCCGUAGCUAACGCAUUAAGUACCCCGCCUGGGGAGUACGGCCGCAAGGCAAAAACUAAAAGGAAUUAACGGGGGCCCGAACAAGCGGCGGAGCAUGUGUGAUUAAUUCGAUGCAACGCGAAGAACCUUACCUGGGUUUAACAUACAUAAGAAAGCCAUAGAGAUAUGGCCCCCCUUGUGGUUGGUGUACAGGUGGUGCAUGGCUGUCGUCAGCUCGUGUCGUGAGAUGUUGGGUUAAGUCCCGCAACGAGCGCAACCCUUGUCCUGUGUUGCCAGCACGUAGUGGUGGGAACUAGCAGGAAACUGCCGGGGUCAACUCGGAGGAAGGUGGGGAUGACGUCAAAUCAUCAUGCACCUUAUGUCCAGGGCUUAAAACAUGCUACAAUGGCCGGUAAAGAGGGCUGCGAUACCGUAAGGUGGAACAAAUCCCUUAAAGCCGGUCUCAGUUCGGAUCGGGGUCUGCAACUCGACCCCGUGAAGUCGAAGUCGCU